AAUAGAUACCCCGGUAGUCCACGCCGUAAACGAUGGAUGCUAGCUGUUAUGCGUAUCGACCCGUGUAGUAGCGAAGCUAACGCGUUAAGCAUCCCGCCUGGGGAGUACGAACGCAAGUUUAAAACUCAAAGGAAUUGACGGGGACCCGCACAAGCGGUGGAGCGUGUUCUUUAAUUCGAGGCUAAGCGAAGAACCUUACCAGGGCUUGACAUCCUUGGAAUUUCUCCGAAAGGAGAGAGUACUUUAUUGGACCAAGUGACAGGUGCUGCAUGGCCGUCGUCAGCUCGUGUCGUGAGAUGUUUGGUUAAGUCCAUUAACGAGCGCAACCCUUAUGAAUAGUUGUAUUUUUCUAUUCAGACUGCCCCGGUAACGGGGAGGAAGGGGGGAUGAUGUCAGGUCAGUAUUGCCCUUACGCCCUGGGCUAGAAACGCGCUACAAUGGCCGGUACAAUGCGCUGCCAACCCGCGAGGGGAGCAAAUCGCAUCAAAGCCGGUCCCAGUUCGGAUAAGAGGCUGAAACUCGCCUCUUUGAAGCCGGAAUCGCUAGUAAUCGU
Molecule: ribosomal RNA, 553 nt
Filed under: uncultured bacterium
Lineage: Bacteria
Description: bacterial SSU rRNA
Rfam family: Bacterial small subunit ribosomal RNA
Source: RNAcentral